Molecule: ribosomal RNA, 446 nt
Filed under: uncultured Smithella sp.
Lineage: Bacteria; Pseudomonadati; Thermodesulfobacteriota; Syntrophia; Syntrophales; Smithellaceae
Description: bacterial SSU rRNA
Rfam family: Bacterial small subunit ribosomal RNA
Source: RNAcentral
AUGUGGUUUAAUUCGAAUCGCAACGCGAAGAACCUUACCUGGGCUUGACAUCCCGGGAAUCCCUUGGAAACAAGGGAGUGCCUUCGGGGAACCAGGAGACAGGUGCUGCAUGGCUGUCGUCAGCUCGUGUCGUGAGAUGUUGGGUUAAGUCCCGCAACGAGCGCAACCCUUAUCCUUUAAUUGCCAGCAUUCAGUUGGGCACUUUAAAGAGACUGCCGGUGUUAAACCGGAGGAAGGUGGGAUGACGUCAAGUCCUCAUGGCCUUUAUGCUUAGGGCUACACACGUGCUACAAUGGGUGGUACAAAGAGAAGCCAACUCGCGAGAGCGCGCCAAUCUCAAAAAGCCAUCCUCAGUUCGGAUUGGAGUCUGCAACUCGACUCCAUGAAGUUGGAAUCGCUAGUAAUCGCGGAUCAGCAUGCCGCGGUCGAAUACGUUCCCGGGCCUU